GAUUGGAUAUGAUGAAUGUAAUGGACGAGUGAUGAUCUAUUUCACAUGAUCAUAAAUCUCUACUCGCUACGUUCUUUCUGAUCCUUUU
This is a small nucleolar RNA of Tripterygium wilfordii, 88 nucleotides long. RefSeq annotates it as small nucleolar RNA R32/R81/Z41. NCBI's taxonomy places the organism in Eukaryota, Viridiplantae, Streptophyta, Magnoliopsida, Celastrales, Celastraceae. The record is from RefSeq and is a predicted model, not a curated record. The transcript has a single exon.